CUAUAGCUAGAGCUAUAUUGAUAUAUAGAGUUAGACUCUUCCAAAUUCUUCCCAACACACUUGGUGUGAAAGAGGGUCUAUAGAAAUUGUGUUUCAUUUUUCAUGUUGUGAAAAUUUGGGACAAGAUUGGGUGAUGGCUUCAUCCAUUAAUAUCUACUCAAAUGGACUAAUCAUUGUGAUGCUCAUCUAUUCUUUCACAUUCCUUGCUUCUAUAUCAGGAAGAAUUGAAGAAAGGAAACAAAUGAGAAUGGUGAUGUUGGGAUCAAGUCCACCAAAGUGUGUUAAUAGAUGCAAAGGAUGCAGACCUUGCAUUGCUACACUUGUUAUUCCUCCACAUACAAACAAAGGUUUAAAAACAAUAACAUCUAGAGAAGAUGAAGGCUAUUAUCUCCUUUCAUGGAAAUGCAAAUGUGGAACUAAGUAUUUUCAUCCUUGAAAUGUUGAUCUUCUAAUACAAUAUUCUUUUCUUUUUUCUUUUCUAACUUAAGAGUAGGAAGGUAAUUAAACUAGUGAACAAUAUCUUGGUUUGUUAAUGCAUUUUAUGCACAACUUUGAGUUAGUUAAUUAGUUGACAUGUAUAUAUUUCUUCAGAGAUAAUGAUGAAAAAAACACUUUGCGAGUUUCUUA
Molecule: long non-coding RNA, 627 nt
Organism: Solanum tuberosum (potato)
Lineage: Eukaryota; Viridiplantae; Streptophyta; Magnoliopsida; Solanales; Solanaceae
Exons: 2
Source: RefSeq, a predicted model, not a curated record